Bufo bufo (common toad) is the source of this 160-nucleotide long non-coding RNA. RefSeq lists it as uncharacterized. The record is from RefSeq and is a predicted model, not a curated record. Lineage: Eukaryota; Metazoa; Chordata; Amphibia; Anura; Bufonidae. The transcript has 3 exons.
CCCUUUCUGUAUGUCCACAUGUCUGUUCCGCAAAAAAAUGGAACAUGUCCUAUAAUUGUCCGCAUUAAGGACAAGGAUUUGACUGUUCUAUUAGUGGCCAGCUGUUUCAUUCCGAAAAUACUGAAUGCACAUGGAUGUCAUCCGUCAACCUAAAAAGACA